GGAGCAAUCCAUGAGUAAAGUGGCGACCGGGUGAGUAACACGUGACUAACCUACCUUUCAGUGGGGAAUAACCUCGGGAAACCGGGGCUAAUACCGCAUAAUGUCUUCGGACCAAAGGAGCAAUUCGCUGGAAGAGGGGGUCGCGGCCGAUUAGCUAGUUGGUGGGGUAACGGCCCACCAAGGCAAUGAUCGGUAGCCGGCCUGAGAGGGCGCACGGCCACACUGGAACUGAAACACGGUCCAGACUCCUACGGGAGGCAGCAGUGGGGAAUUUUGCGCAAUGGGGGAAACCCUGACGCAGCAACGCCGCGUGGAGGAUGAAGCCCCUUGGGGUGUAAACUCCUUUCGAUCGGGACGAUAAUGACGGUACCGGAUGAAGAAGCACCGGCUAACUCUGUGCCAGCAGCCGCGGUAAUACAGAGGGUGCAAGCGUUGUUCGGAAUUAUUGGGCGUAAAGGGUGCGUAGGCGGUGCGGUAAGUCUGUUGUGAAAUCUCCGGGCUCAACUCGGAGCCUGCAACGGAAACUGCCGUGCUGGAGUAUGGGAGAGGUGAGUGGAAUUCCCGGUGUAGCGGUGAAAUGCGUAGAU
Molecule: ribosomal RNA, 587 nt
Filed under: uncultured bacterium
Lineage: Bacteria
Description: bacterial SSU rRNA
Rfam family: Bacterial small subunit ribosomal RNA
Source: RNAcentral